Molecule: long non-coding RNA, 2217 nt
Filed under: Bos indicus x Bos taurus (hybrid cattle)
Lineage: Eukaryota; Metazoa; Chordata; Mammalia; Artiodactyla; Bovidae
Description: lncRNA (ENSBIXG00005012873.1)
Source: RNAcentral
CAGCACCCGCCUCCCAGUCUCUUAGGCAGAAAAGGAGCCUGUUGUCCGGACAUCAGGUGGCUCACAGAGUCGCCGGGGGUCUGCAUAACCAGGCUCGGGAAAUGAGCAGGAACGGGGGAGUCUGGGUGACUGGAGGCAGGGGUGGAAUCGCUGCCCACACCGCGGCUGUGACUGCUGCCUUCAGAGAUGGCACACGGCUCCUGCCUUCUCUUGCCUGCUUGCCCUAGCUCGCCCACUGACUGGAGGGCGCGGGGGUCUGGACUUUAGCUCAGUUGCUGCCUCAAAUCCGUUCUGCUCAUCAAGCGGCCUGGGGAUGUUGGACUGAUCCUGAGACCCACUGCAAGCACCCGCCCUGGGAGCAGCUGCAGUCCCAGGAAGCAUGCGCUGCAGGCAUGGCUCACAAUUGCCCUUCGUGUCUUACAGCCACUUGGAUCAGACCCCGUGGGACUCACCAAAACCUCAUUCUUCCAGUGUGAAUUGACCAACCCAGCCUGGGAACCCAAACACUGCACCCAGAACCCCAAUAAACCUGGAGGUCCACCUCCCUCCCCACCUGGGGGUGCGGGCUGUGCCUCCUCCAGGGCCCGAGAGCCUCUCUUCGAUUGCUGCGGCGGUCUCUGCUGAAGCUCGGGCCCACCUUGUGGCCCUUGCCGUGUGUUAACCCACAAGCCUCCCGGGUAGGUAGGACAAUGCAGCUGGGGUCACAGCAGGUGAACGGCUGGUGGGGGGUGGCCCUCAGCCUGUGGCUGCCUGGUGAAUCUGAAAGCUUGUUGAUCGGUUCAUGCUGUUGAAGCUCCAGGGGCUCCCUGUUUCCUGCAGGGUCGCACCUGAUCCCCCAGCGUGGCAUCCCAGGGCCCCAGGGUCUCAGCCCCACACGUCCGAACUCUUCUCCUGUGGCCCGACAGCUACGUGCUUGUUGGAAGCAGAAAGCCCGGGAGGGGAUGUGGGUCCCAGGGGUUGGCCAAGCCCCCAGGACACCCGCAGACUCUGCCCUCUCCCCGUGUCCCCGAGGUGUCUGGGCCCCCAGGGCCUCCCCCCAUGUCACAGGCUGCCUCCAUCGGGCUCCCAUAGUCUCCCAGCUGAGCCCCGGGUUCUGGAGCCCAGCGCCCAGGGCAGCCCAGCUCUCGCUCAGACUCUCCUCUCUGUGGGCAGAAGGACCCUCCCCCCACCCCCAGUUGCCAGGAAACAGCAGACAAUGACCGACCCCUCUGGGGCUUCCAGAGCCUGCCCACCCACAGCUUUGUUCCUCUGUCUCUGCAGCGGAUGGAGCUCCUUGCAGGCACCGAACGCUCCCCAGCAGGCAGGGUGAGCGUGCCUGGAAGGAUGGGACCAGAAGCUGCAUCUUCUGCCCUGCCCCUUGCAGGGGGAGUCCCUGAAGCUGGCCCUGAGAUGGCUGGGGAGUGAGCCGUCCAUCUGGGGGUGAUCCCAGCGGCACGGGGGUGUGGGACACGGACAGGGCUUGUUCAUGGCCGCUGGCUGCUGGGCCCCUGGCCUCAGUGCCUCCCAGGCCCCUGACCCUAGCCCUAACCCCGGCCGGGCCCCCGGCUGUCCAGCUUCACAUCCCCAGGGCUCCUCCUGAGAGUGACUGGCACUUCCGCCUUCCCAGUGUAGAGGCUGAGCCUCCUCUGGUGCCAGGGGGUGCCUCUGGGCAGGGCUGUGGGCCUUGCAUUGGGAAGCGGGGGAUGAGGAGAUGCACAGCAAGGUCGGGGUGAGCUGAAGGGGACCAGUGACCUCGCAUCAGUGGACGGAUGUUACGGUCCAGCCACAGUGAGGCUGGGAUCUGGGCCUGGGCCCCGGGUUCUGCACCCCCCGGGGACGCAGACGUGGACCAAGGAACGUCCCGUUCAAGUCCCCUUGUACUGGGUCUGUGUUUCAGAACCCUACCUACGUGUUAGCUACACUCGGGGCUCGAGCGACAACUUUCCAGACCCAGUGUUCCCGGAGUCCCUGUCUCCGGCCUUGCUCUACGGAUUUGGAUUCUGUCACAGGCGGAUGUCAGGGCUGCUGGGGGGAAAUUACAGGCUGCUCCGGCUGACGCUGAAGUUGCAUCCCUAACUGCUCCCUUCACCCCAGCUCCAUGAUGGCCCGGGGGGGUCCCGCUCCAGCUGGGACUCGCGGGCCUCGGGGGCUGCUCAGCACGGGGGUGCGCCAGCCCCGCUGUGCAGCAGCCUCGGGAUGAGUCAGAAUAAAUUAGCAUGCUAACGAGGGGGAACUGCA